Non-coding RNA from Ophiophagus hannah (king cobra), 73 nucleotides. The record is from Rfam. NCBI's taxonomy places the organism in Eukaryota, Metazoa, Chordata, Lepidosauria, Squamata, Elapidae.
UAGGUUAAAGUCCGCCGGUUUGGACGGCUAGCUGUUAAUUAGUUGUUUGUGGGAUCGAGGCCCACUAAUCUAG